GACGAACGCUGGCGGCGUGCUUAACACAUGCAAGUCGAACGGAAAGGCCCUGCUUUUGUGGGGUGCUCGAGUGGCGAACGGGUGAGUAACACGUGAGUAACCUGCCCUUGACUUUGGGAUAACUUCAGGAAACUGGGGCUAAUACCGGAUAGGAGCUCCUGCUGCAUGGUGGGGGUUGGAAAGUUUCGGCGGUUGGGGAUGGACUCGCGGCUUAUCAGCUUGUUGGUGGGGUAGUGGCUUACCAAGGCUUUGACGGGUAGCCGGCCUGAGAGGGUGACCGGCCACAUUGGGACUGAGAUACGGCCCAGACUCCUACGGGAGGCAGCAGUGGGGAAUAUUGCACAAUGGGCGGAAGCCUGAUGCAGCAACGCCGCGUGCGGGAUGACGACCUUCGGGUUGUAAACCGCUUUCGCCUGUGACGAAGCGUGAGUGACGGUAAUGGGUAAAGAAGCACCGGCUAACUACGUGCCAGCAGCCGCGGUGAUACGUAGGGUGCGAGCGUUGUCCGGAUUUAUUGGGCGUUAAGGGCUCGUAGGUGGUUGAUCGCGUCGGAAGUGUAAUCUUGGGGCUUAACCCUGAGCGUGCUUUCGAUACGGGUUGACUUGAGGAAGGUAGGGGAGAAUGGAAUUCCUGGUGGAGCGGUGGAAUGCGCAGAUAUCAGGAGGAACACCAGUGGCGAAGGCGGUUCUCUGGGCCUUUCCUGACGCUGAGGAGCGAAAGCGUGGGGAGCGAACAGGCUUAGAUACCCUGGUAGUCCACGCUGUAAACGGUGGGUACUAGGUGUGGGGUCCAUUCCACGGGUUCCGUGCCGUAGCUAACGCUUUAAGUACCCCGCCUGGGGAGUACGGCCGCAAGGCUAAAACUCAAAGGAAUUGACGGGGCCCCGCACAAGCGGCGGAGCAUGCGGAUUAAUUCGAUGCAACGCGUAGAACCUUACCUGGGUUUGACAUGGAUCGGGAGCGCUCAGAGAUGGGUGUGCCUCUUUUGGGGUCGGUUCACAGGUGGUGCAUGGCUGUCGUCAGCUCGUGUCGUGAGAUGUUGGGUUAAGUCCCGCAACGAGCGCAACCCUUGUUCACUGUUGCCAGCACGUUAUGGUGGGGACUCAGUGGAGACCGCCGGGGUCAACUCGGAGGAAGGUGGGGAUGACGUCAAGUCAUCAUGCCCCUUAUGUCCAGGGCUUCACGCAUGCUACAAUGGCUGGUACAGAGAGUGGCGAGCCUGUGAGGGUGAGCGAAUCUCGGAAAGCCGGUCUCAGUUCGGAUUGGGGUCUGCAACUCGACCUCAUGAAGUCGGAGUCGCUAGUAAUCGCAGAUCAGCAACGCUGCGGUGAGUACGUUCCCGGGGCU
RNAcentral lists this ribosomal RNA (1346 nucleotides) under uncultured bacterium. Its description in RNAcentral is "bacterial SSU rRNA". It matches the Rfam family "Bacterial small subunit ribosomal RNA", at positions 28 to 1381 of the family's 1533-position model. The record is from RNAcentral.